Molecule: ribosomal RNA, 301 nt
Filed under: uncultured bacterium
Lineage: Bacteria
Description: partial 16S ribosomal RNA
Rfam family: Bacterial small subunit ribosomal RNA
Source: RNAcentral
CAGCCGCCGCGGGAAUACAGAGGGUGCAAGCGUUAAUCGGAAUUACUGGGCGUAAAGCGCGCGUAGGUGGUUCGCCAAGUUGGAUGUGAAAUCCCCGGGCUCAACCUGGGAACUGCAUCCAAAACUGGCGAGCUAGAGUAUGGUAGAGGGUGGUGGAAUUUCCUGUGUAGCGGUGAAAUGCGUAGAUAUAGGAAGGAACAUCAGUGGCGAAGGCGACCACCUGGACUGAUACUGACACUGAGGUGCGAAAGCGUGGGGAGCAAACAGGAUUAGAUACCCCAGUAGUCCCUGUCUCUUAUAC